Molecule: ribosomal RNA, 405 nt
Filed under: uncultured bacterium
Lineage: Bacteria
Description: partial 16S ribosomal RNA
Rfam family: Bacterial small subunit ribosomal RNA
Source: RNAcentral
GAUGAACGCUGACAGAAUGCUUAACACAUGCAAGUCAACCUGUGGCGUACGGGUGAGUAACGCGUAUAGAACUUACCUCACAUUUAGGGACAACAUUUGGAAACGAAUGCUAAUACCUAAUACUGUGAGAGAGCUUUGCGUCCCAUUAGCUAGUUGGAGAGGUAACGGCUCACCAAGGCGAUGAUGUGUAGCCGGACUGAGAGGGUGUUCGGCCACAAGGGGACUGGGACACGGCCCUUACUCCUACGGGAGGCAGGAGUGGGGGAGAUUGGACAAUGGACCAAAGUCUGAUCCAGCAAUUCUGGGUGCACGAUGAAGUUUUCGGAAUGUAAAGUGCUUUGAGUUGGGAAGCGGUACCAACAGAAGAAGUGACGGCUAAAUACGUGCCAGCCGCCGCGGUAAUAC